RNAcentral lists this ribosomal RNA (271 nucleotides) under uncultured bacterium. RNAcentral describes it as "partial 16S ribosomal RNA". It matches the Rfam family "Bacterial small subunit ribosomal RNA", at positions 87 to 354 of the family's 1533-position model. The record is from RNAcentral.
CCCGGCGACCGGCGCACGGGUGAGUAACACGUAUGCAACCUGGCCGUGACAGAUGGAUAACCGGGAGAAAUCCCGCCUAAUACAACAUAAUGCCGGGAGGGGACAUCCCCUGCCGGUCAAAGGGGGCGACCCCGGUCACGGAUGGGCAUGCGGCGCAUUAGGUAGUUGGUGGGGCAACGGCCCACCAAGCCGACGAUGCGUAGGGGUUCUGAGAGGAAGGUCCCCCACAUUGGAGCUGAGACACGGUCCAAACUCCUACGGAAGGCAGCAG